RNAcentral lists this ribosomal RNA (253 nucleotides) under uncultured bacterium. RNAcentral describes it as "partial 16S ribosomal RNA". It matches the Rfam family "Bacterial small subunit ribosomal RNA", at positions 524 to 776 of the family's 1533-position model. The record is from RNAcentral.
UACAGAGGAGCCAAGCGUUGUCCGGAUUGACUGGGCGUAAAGCGCACGCAGGCGGACGCGCGCGUGGGGUGUGAAAUCUGGCCGCUUAACGGCCAGGCGCCAUCCCAUACGGCGCGUCUGGGGCCUUGCAGAGGUCGGUGGAAUUGCCGGUGUAGUGGUGAAAUGCGUAGAGAUCGGCAGGAACACCCAGGGGGAAACCAGCCGACUGGGCAAGCGCUGACGCUGAGGUGCGAGAGCGUGGGGAGCGAACCGG